RNAcentral lists this ribosomal RNA (469 nucleotides) under uncultured bacterium. RNAcentral describes it as "bacterial SSU rRNA". It matches the Rfam family "Bacterial small subunit ribosomal RNA", at positions 30 to 488 of the family's 1533-position model. The record is from RNAcentral.
AUUGAACGCUGGCGGCAUGCUUUUACACAUGCAAGUCGAACGGCAGCGGGGGCGUUCGGCCUGCCGGCGAGUGGCGAACGGGUGAGUAAUGCAUCGGAACGUACCCAGUUGUGGGGGAUAACUACUCGAAAGAGUAGCUAAUACCGCAUACGCCCUGAGGGGGAAAGGCGGGGGAUCUUCGGACCUCGCGCAAUUGGAGCGGCCGAUGUCGGAUUAGCUAGUUGGUGGGGUAAAAAGCCCACCAAGGCGACGAUCCGUAGCGGGUCUGAGAGGAUGAUCCGCCACACUGGGACUGAGACACGGCCCAGACUCCUACGGGAGGCAGCAGUAGGGAAUUUUCGGCAAUGGGGGAAACCCUGACCGAGCAAUGCCGCGUGAACGAUGAAGGUCUUCGGAUUGUAAAGUUCUGUGAUUGGGGAAGAAUGGUAUUCUUAGGGAAUGAGGAGUACAUGACGGUACCCGAUUAGAA